AGUGAACGCUGGCGGUAGGCCUAACACAUGCAAGUCGAACGGCAGCACAGUAAGAGCUUGCUCUUACGGGUGGCGAGUGGCGGACGGGUGAGGAAUACAUCGGAAUCUACUUUUUCGUGGGGGAUAACGUAGGGAAACUUACGCUAAUACCGCAUACGACCUACGGGUGAAAGCAGGGGAUCUUCGGACCUUGCGCGAUUGAAUGAGCCGAUGUCGGAUUAGCUAGUUGGCGGGGUAAAGGCCCACCAAGGCGACGAUCCGUAGCUGGUCGGAGAGGAGGAUCAGCCACACUGGCAGUGAGCCACGCUCCAGACUCCUACGGGAGGCAGCAGUGGGGAACAUUGGACAAUGCUCGCAAGCCUGCUACAGCCCUACCGCGUGGGUCAAGAAGGCCUCCGGCUUGUAAAGCCCUUUUGUUGGUAAAGAACAGCAGCAGGUUAACACCCCGCUGUUCUGACGGUACCCUAAGAAUAAGCACCGGCUAACUUCGUG
RNAcentral lists this ribosomal RNA (492 nucleotides) under uncultured bacterium. RNAcentral's name for it is "partial 16S ribosomal RNA". It matches the Rfam family "Bacterial small subunit ribosomal RNA", at positions 29 to 507 of the family's 1533-position model. The record is from RNAcentral.